UCCUUUAAGCGUCCACAGGCGGCGGAGCGGCCACAAUCACAGCUCCGGGCAUUGGGGGAGCCCGAGCCGGCUGCGCCGGGGGAAUCCGUGCGGGCGCCGUGCGUCCCGGUCCCAUCCUCGCCGCGCUCCCGCACCCCUGAAGUUUUGCAGCGCCCAGAAAGGAGGCGAGGGAGGAGGGAGCCUGAGAGGAGAGGGGGCAAAUAGCACACCCUAAAACAUUUAUUUCAAGGAGGAAAGAAAAAGGGGGGCGCAAAAAUGGCUGGGGCAAUUAUAGAAAACAUGAGCACCAAGAAGCUGUGCAUUGUUGGUGGGAUUCUGCUCGUGUUCCAAAUCAUCGCCUUUCUGGUGGGAGGCUUGAUUGCUCCAGGGCCCACGACGGCAGUGUCCUACAUGUCAGUGAAAUGUGUGGAUGUCCGUAAAAACCAUCACAAGACAAAAUGGUUAAUGCCUUGGGGACCCAACCAAUGCGACAAGAUCCGAGACAUCGAGGAAGCAAUUCCAAGGGAAAUUGAAGCCAAUGACAUUGUGUUUUCUGUCCACAUUCCCCUUCCCUCCAUGGAGAUGAGUCCUUGGUUCCAAUUCAUGCUGUUUAUCCUGCAGCUGGACAUUGCAUUCAAGCUGAACAACCAAAUCAGAGAAAAUGCAGAAGUAUCCAUGGAUGUGUCCCUGGCUUACCGUGAUGAUAUGUUUGCUGAAUGGACUGAAAUGGCCCAUGAGAGAGUGCCCCGGAAACUCAAAUGUACCUUCACAUCUCCCAAGACCCCAGAGUAUGAGGGUCGUUACUAUGAAUGUGAUGUCCUUCCUUUUAUGGAAAUCGGGUCUGUAGCUCAUAAGUACUACCUUCUGAACAUCCGGCUGCCUGUGAAUGAGAAGAAGAAAAUCAAUGUUGGAAUUGGGGAAAUAAAGGAUAUUCAGUUGGUGGGAAUCCAUCAAAAUGGAGGCUUCACCAAGGUGUGGUUUGCAAUGAAGACCUUCCUUACGCCCAGCAUCUUCAUCAUUAUGGUGUGGUAUUGGAGGAGGAUCACUAUGAUGUCCCGACCCCCAGUGCUUCUAGAAAAAGUUAUCUUUGCCCUUGGGAUUUCCAUGACUUUUAUCAACAUCCCGGUGGAGUGGUUUUCCAUUGGAUUUGACUGGACCUGGAUGCUGCUGUUUGGUGACAUCCGACAGGGCAUCUUCUAUGCGAUGCUUCUCUCCUUCUGGAUCAUCUUCUGUGGCGAGCACAUGAUGAAAGUAAACACACAAAUGUCAACAAUUACCACCAUUUCCUCUGCUUUGGCUUCAGCUCUUCUUGUCCCCAGGACCAAGGAUCAGCAUGAGCGGAAUCACAUAGCAGGGUAUUGGAAGCAAGUUGGACCAAUUGCUGUUGGCUCUUUCUGCCUCUUCAUAUUUGAUAUGUGUGAGAGAGGGGUACAACUCACGAAUCCCUUCUACAGUAUCUGGACUACAGAUGUUGGAACAGAGCUGGCUAUGGCCUUCAUCAUUGUGGCUGGCAUCUGCCUCUGCCUCUACUUCCUGUUUCUGUGCUUCAUGGUAUUUCAGGUGUUUCGGAACAUCAGUGGGAAGCAGUCCAGCCUGCCAGCCAUGAGCAAAGUCCGGCGGCUGCACUAUGAGGGGCUGAUUUUCAGGUUCAAGUUCCUCAUGCUGAUAACCUUGGCCUGUGCUGCUAUGACUGUCAUUUUCUUCAUCGUUAGUCAGGUGACUGAAGGCCACUGGAAGUGGGGCGGCGUCACAGUCCAAGUGAACAGUGCCUUUUUCACAGGCAUCUAUGGAAUGUGGAACCUGUAUGUCUUUGCUCUGAUGUUCCUAUAUGCACCAUCCCAUAAGAACUACGGGGAAGACCAGUCCAAUGAUGGAAAGAGACUCCGAGCAUGUUUGUGCACUGAGUAGCAGGAGCCAAGAAAGAAGGAGAAUAACAGAUGGAGCAAGACCUUGGCAGAAGUGAUCUGGGUGUCCACAGUGGGGAAGAACUCCAGCUCACCACCACCAUCACCCAUGUGGACGGACCCACCGAGAUCUACAAGCUGACCCGCAAAGAGGCCCAGGAGUAAGAGGCUGCAACACCUGGCUGGGACUGUCCCCCACAUCCCAGCCCCUCUAAGUAGAGCGGGGAGUGUGCCAGAAAGAGCUCAGGUGCAAAGGAAUGCUUGAGGCUCUUAGCUGGGGUUUCUUCUUGGAUCCGCGGCAUGGACGUUUGUCAGCUUGCCUUCUGACUGUAGCUCUCACAGGAGGAUUCCUGCAGCCACUAAUGCAUUGUGUAUAACAAAACCUCUGAUAUGACACAUUUUCUGUGAUCAUUGUUAAUUAGUGACAUAGUAACAUCUGUAGCAGGUGGUUAGUAAACCUCAUGUGUUGGGGGUGUUUUCCUCGGGGGAUGGUUUGGGCCAGAUGGGGUCUAUAUGGAGUGGAAUUAUUUGACUCUUUUUCCUGUUUUAGAUUCUAGGAUAGAUUUUAACAUUUUUGCAGCCCGGGAUAGGCUGAUGUCAUAGUCUUCUCAAUCCUAGUCUGUGACCACUUGUGUUUUUUUUUUUCCUAUUUAUAUCACCAAGUAGCCUAUUGAGUUAAUAUUUAAGUUGUCGAUAGAUAUGUGUCCCUAUUUUUUAUGGCAUAAUAUAAAAUAACUGAAUCUCAUGAGAAGGUCUGUUACGCCAGGGGCAUUUCAGCUUUGAAACCAAAUCUGUGUAUCCAAUACUAACCAGUCUGUUGGAUGUGGGUUUUAAAAAAAUGUUUGCUAAACUACCCAAGUAGGAUUUACUGUAUUAAAUGGCCUUUGGGUCUGAAAAGCUUUUUUAACCUCUUGCUUAAAAUGUGUUUUCUUUUGAUAAGAUGCUUCCAACAGCCUCCAAAAGUGUAGAUCUGAUCAUUUAAAUAAACCUGUACAUGUACGCA
This is an RNA transcript of Felis catus (domestic cat), 2886 nucleotides long. It is a transcript of the gene named Wnt ligand secretion mediator, with no coding region annotated. Lineage: Eukaryota; Metazoa; Chordata; Mammalia; Carnivora; Felidae. The transcript is spliced from 14 exons. The record is from RefSeq and is a predicted model, not a curated record.